GACGAACGCUGGCGGCGUGCUUAACACAUGCAAGUCGAACGGAAAGGCCCUGCUUUUGUGGGGUGCUCGAGUGGCGAACGGGUGAGUAACACGUGGAUAACCUACCUAUAAGACUGGGAUAACUUCGGGAAACCGGAGCUAAUACCGGAUAAUAUAUUGAACCGCAUGGUUCAAUAGUGAAAGACGGUUUUGCUGUCACUUAUAGAUGGAUCCGCGCCGCAUUAGCUAGUUGGUAAGGUAACGGCUUACCAAGGCAACGAUGCGUAGCCGACCUGAGAGGGUGAUCGGCCACACUGGAACUGAGACACGGUCCAGACUCCUACGGGAGGCAGCAGUAGGGAAUCUUCCGCAAUGGGCGAAAGCCUGACGGAGCAACGCCGCGUGAGUGAUGAAGGUCUUCGGAUCGUAAAACUCUGUUAUUAGGGAAGAACAAAUGUGUAAGUAACUAUGCACGUCUUGACGGUACCUAAUCAGAAAGCCACGGCUAACUACGUG
This 495-nucleotide ribosomal RNA is filed under the name uncultured bacterium. Its description in RNAcentral is "partial 16S ribosomal RNA". It matches the Rfam family "Bacterial small subunit ribosomal RNA", at positions 28 to 507 of the family's 1533-position model. The record is from RNAcentral.